AGCAGCCGCGGUAAUUCCAGCUCCAAUAGCGUAUAUUAAAGUUGUUGCAGUUAAAAAGCUCGUAGUUGAAUUUCGGGGUUUAUCCGUUGGUCGGGCUUUUGGGUCUGUACUGGCGUGAUGAAUUCCUACCUUCUGAAUAACCAGCAUGCCAUUAAUUUGGUGCGCUGGGGAAGCAGGACUGUUACCUUGAAAAAUUAGAGUGCUUAAAGCAGGCUAUUGCCUGAAUACAUUAGCAUGGAAUAAUGAAAUAGGACGCAUGGUUCUAUUUUGUUGGUUUCUAGGAUCACCGUAAUGAUUAAUAGGGAUAGUUGGGGGCAUUAGUAUUCAAUUGUCAGAGGUGAAAUUCUUGGAUUUAUUGAAGACUAACUUCUGCGAAAGCAUUUGCCAAGGAUGUUUUCAUUAAUCAAGAACGAAAGUUAGGGGAUCGAAGACGAUCAGAUACCGUCGUAG
RNAcentral lists this ribosomal RNA (450 nucleotides) under uncultured Acaulospora. RNAcentral describes it as "SSU rRNA". It matches the Rfam family "Eukaryotic small subunit ribosomal RNA", at positions 569 to 1023 of the family's 1831-position model. Lineage: Eukaryota; Fungi; Glomeromycota; Glomeromycetes; Diversisporales; Acaulosporaceae. The record is from RNAcentral.